CUCAGACAAGUACUAGACACUAUGCAGACACAAAUUCAUAAGACUUGGGCCCUGCCCUCUUGGAGCUUACAGUCUAAUAUGGCACAAAAAGAAACUUGUACAAGGUACUGGACCUGCAAAUGAGGAUCAGGGAAUAAAUGCAGUGACUUCAGAUAGGGAUAGAUCAUAUAUGGCCACACCAUGAUAAUGCUUCACAGUGGAGAUAGAAUUUCAAUAAGACAGAGAGAAUUUCUUAGGGUUUUCACAAGUAGAACAUGUUUUAGGAAGAUGAUACAACACGAGGAAAAACAAAGAUACAAAAAAAGUUUUAGAUGUAUCUGACGGGAAGGGGAUGGAGAUUCUGGAGAAAAAUAGAUAAGAUUAGCUGGAGCAAUGCUUUAUGAGGAAAAUAAUGGAAGAUAAGGCAGGAAAGGCAGCUUGGAGCCAGAAGGAAGACACCAUUAUGCUCUUGGUCAAUGAAUGAUACACUAAAUGUGGGUAGUUCAAGGGAGAUUCUUCUACAGUAGUGUUGCACAACAUGGAAACAAGAUUCUAAGUGUCCAGGAGUGUGAUAUGAGGGGCCUGAACUACAGGGUAGUUCUGGGAAUAAAAAUUAAAACAUAGAGGGUAAAAUACAUCAGGAGGGAAAACGGAAAUAACUUUAGCACUAAUAGAGAGUAAGGUAUUGGCUGGGCACAGUGGCUCACACCUAUAAUCCCAGCAGUUUGGGAGGCCGAAGCAGGUCACGCAUUCAAGACCAACCUGGCCAACAUAGUGAAACCUCGUCUCUGUCUCUACUAAAAAUACAAAAAAUUAGCCAGGCAUGGUGGCGGGCACCUAUAGUCCCAGCUACUCGGGAGGCUGACCAGGAGAAUCGCUUGAACCAGGAAGGCAGAGGUUGCAGUAAGCCAAGAUUGCGCCACUGCGCUCCAGCCCAGGCAACAGUGCGAGACUCCAUCUCAAACAAACAAACAAAAAAAAAGAGUAAGGUAUCAAAAUUAUUCUGAGCUGUAGUAGAGCUAGAAAAACCUAGAGGAGCUGAUUCGAUAACUGUAGGGGUGGGAGAGGAUAGAGAUAAGGAAAUGUUCUUAAACAUCCUUUGAAGGCUAAGGAAAUCUAAACAAGUUUGAAUUUUGCAGUG
This 1120-nucleotide long non-coding RNA is filed under the name Homo sapiens (human). Its description in RNAcentral is "HSALNT0051014". The record is from RNAcentral. Lineage: Eukaryota; Metazoa; Chordata; Mammalia; Primates; Hominidae.